UCAAAAACAUCUCUCCUUGUGAGCAAUAGGAGUAGGCCCUGCACAGUGCCUCACGGGGUAAACGGCGGUGUUCAACCUUAAAGUAGCGUAAUAAAUUGGCCUUUAAUUGGGGUCUAGUAUGAAUGGGUUGACGAUGGGGGGACUGUCUCCAGAAGAUAUGUUGAAACUUUCCUCCCAGUGAAAAGUCUAGGAUAGGUUUGAAAGACGAGAAGACCCCGUCGAGCUUGAAUAAGCGUUCCUCGCUCAGCGGGGCGUAAAACCUUUGUUGGGGCAACAAGGGAGAAAAGUAAACCUCCACUUUCCUUUAUGCGGAUCCAUAUUUUAUGAUAAAAAGCAAGAGUUACCGCGGGGAUAACAGCGUAAGACUACUAAGGAGACCUUAUCUGUAGUAGUAAUUGCGACCUCGAUGUUGGCUUAGGGUAAACUUUUUGGUGCAGGAGCUAAUG
This 446-nucleotide ribosomal RNA is filed under the name Fragum erugatum. RNAcentral describes it as "partial 16S ribosomal RNA". It matches the Rfam family "Bacterial large subunit ribosomal RNA", at positions 1807 to 2567 of the family's 2925-position model. Lineage: Eukaryota; Metazoa; Mollusca; Bivalvia; Cardiida; Cardiidae. The record is from RNAcentral.